Molecule: long non-coding RNA, 781 nt
Filed under: Spirodela polyrhiza (greater duckweed)
Lineage: Eukaryota; Viridiplantae; Streptophyta; Magnoliopsida; Alismatales; Araceae
Description: long non-coding RNA (SPOL_LNC002638)
Source: RNAcentral
CAACCCCACCCGGUCGCCUCUCCUUCCCUCCGAGAAGGACAAUGCCGGCUGCUACCGGCGGCCCCGGACGAAGGAAGUGACCUCGAGGUACCUCUCCUCCUACAGUUCUUCCUUCUCCUCUACCACCAGCACCUCAGCUUCAUCUGCGGGACCAGCUGCCACCACUGCUACAUCUUCCUCGUCUUCCUCUUCCACGGCACUUUCCUCCCGACGUUUCCCGUCUCCUCUUCAUACCUCUCGCCCGUCUCCCACUGCGUCCAUGGUGCUCCAACCGUCCACCGCCAAGCGCUCCCAAUCCGUUGACCGGACUCGGGCUGCUGCUCCACGUCUGGAUCCCACCAGGUCCAAUCCCAGCAGGUCCAACAAUUGUGUAACCACGGAGAUCUCCUCCGCAAGCAGACCCCUCCGCACAACGCGGACCCUUUCUGUAUCCUUCCAAGGGGAAUCCUUCGUCUUCCAGACUAGCAGGGUUAAGAAUGAUACCCCAGGCUCCACAAGGAAGCCAACCCCAGAUCGUCGGAGGUAUUCUGCUAUUCCUAUGAGAAAUGGCAUGAUUGAUGGCGGGGAAGACGGUGACAUUGGGCGUCAAAUGGAGAAUUCAAGGUCUGGGGACUACAACCGUUGGCCCGCAGCACAAACUGGAAAUUCGAACCCACUGACAAAGAGCUUGGACUAUUCUCUGAAUAAGGGAGGAUCUAUUUUUCGAACUGCCAAUUUUAUGCAGCAUUCGAUUGUAUUUGAUGAGGCAGGACAUGAAUCAUAUGAUGCUGGUGAUCUGUCU